AGCAGCCGCGGUAAUUCCAGCUCCAAUAGCGUAUAUUAAAGUUGUUGCAGUUAAAAAGCUCGUAGUUGAAUUUCGGGGUCAGUAGGUUGGUCGUGCCACUGGUAUGUACUGGUCUCACUGAUUCCUCCUUCCUGAUGAACCGUAAUGCCAUUAAUUUGGUGUUGCGGGGAAACUGGACUGUUACUUUGAAAAAAUUAGAGUGUUUAAAGCAAGCUAACGCUUGAAUACAUUAGCAUGGAAUAAUGAAAUAGGACGAUCGAUCCUAUUUUGUUGGUUUCUAGGAUUGACGUAAUGAUUAAUAGGGAUAGUUGGGGGCAUUAGUAUUCAAUUGUCAGAGGUGAAAUUCUUGGAUUUAUUGAAGACUAACUACUGCGAAAGCAUUUGCCAAGGAUGUUUUCAUUAAUCAAGAACGAAAGUUAGGGGAUCGAAGACGAUCAGAUACCGUCGUAGUCUUAACCAUAAACUAUGCCGACUAGGGAUCGGAUGAUGUUAAUUUUUAAUGACUCAUUCGGCGCCUUAC
Molecule: ribosomal RNA, 520 nt
Filed under: uncultured Glomus
Lineage: Eukaryota; Fungi; Glomeromycota; Glomeromycetes; Glomerales; Glomeraceae
Description: SSU rRNA
Rfam family: Eukaryotic small subunit ribosomal RNA
Source: RNAcentral